RNAcentral lists this ribosomal RNA (197 nucleotides) under uncultured bacterium. RNAcentral describes it as "partial 16S ribosomal RNA". It matches the Rfam family "Bacterial small subunit ribosomal RNA", at positions 328 to 539 of the family's 1533-position model. The record is from RNAcentral.
ACGCUCGACACCUACGGAGGCAGCAGUGGGGAAUAUUGCACAAUGGGGGAAACCCUGAUGUAGCGACGCCGCGUGAGCGAAGAAGUAUUUCGGUAUGUAAAGCUCUAUCAGCAGGGAAGAAACUGACGGUACCUGACUAAGAAGCACCGGCUAAAUACGUGCCAACAGCCGCGGUAAUCUGAGCGGGCUGGCAAGGC